This 873-nucleotide ribosomal RNA is filed under the name Didymella pinodes (pea foot rot fungus). RNAcentral's name for it is "LSU rRNA". It matches the Rfam family "Eukaryotic large subunit ribosomal RNA", at positions 73 to 967 of the family's 3401-position model. The record is from RNAcentral. Lineage: Eukaryota; Fungi; Ascomycota; Dothideomycetes; Pleosporales; Didymellaceae.
AUGCCUAGUAACGGCGAGUGAAGCGGCAACAGCUCAAAUUUGAAAUCUGGCGUCUUCGGCGUCCGAGUUGUAAUUUGCAGAGGGCGCUUUGGCAUUGGCAGCGGUCCAAGUUCCUUGGAACAGGACGUCACAGAGGGUGAGAAUCCCGUACGUGGUCGCUAGCCUUUACCGUGUAAAGCCCCUUCGACGAGUCGAGUUGUUUGGGAAUGCAGCUCUAAAUGGGAGGUAAAUUUCUUCUAAAGCUAAAUACUGGCCAGAGACCGAUAGCGCACAAGUAGAGUGAUCGAAAGAUGAAAAGCACUUUGGAAAGAGAGUUAAAAAGCACGUGAAAUUGUUGAAAGGGAAGCGCUUGCAGCCAGACUUGCCUGUAGUUGCUCAUCCGGGUUUCUACCCGGUGCACUCUUCUAUGGGCAGGCCAGCAUCAGUUUGGGCGGUUGGAUAAAGGUCUCUGUCAUGUACCUCUCUUCGGGGAGAACUUAUAGGGGAGACGUCAUGCAACCAGCCUGGACUGAGGUCCGCGCAUCUGCUAGGAUGCUGGCGUAAUGGCUGUAAGCGGCCCGUCUUGAAACACGGACCAAGGAGUCUAACAUCUAUGCGAGUGUUUGGGUGUCAAGCCCGAGCGCGUAAUGAAAGUGAACGGAGGUGGGAACCUUUCGGGGUGCACCAUCGACCGAUCCUGAUGUCUUCGGAUGGAUUUGAGUAAGAGCAUAGCUGUUGGGACCCGAAAGAUGGUGAACUAUGCUUGAAUAGGGUGAAGCCAGAGGAAACUCUGGUGGAGGCUCGCAGCGGUUCUGACGUGCAAAUCGAUCGUCAAAUUUGGGCAUAGGGGCGAAAGACUAAUCGAACUAUCUAGUAGCUGGGUUCCUGCGUAGU